RNAcentral lists this ribosomal RNA (425 nucleotides) under uncultured prokaryote. RNAcentral's name for it is "bacterial SSU rRNA". It matches the Rfam family "Bacterial small subunit ribosomal RNA", at positions 355 to 796 of the family's 1533-position model. The record is from RNAcentral.
UCGAGAAUCUUCCGCAAUGGACGAAAGUCUGACGGAGCGACGCCGCGUGCGGGAUGAAGGCCUUCGGGUUGUAAACCGCUGUCAUAGGGGAGGAAAUUUUGACCGAUCCUAAGAGGAAGCACAGGCUAAGUUCGUGCCAGCAGCCGCGGUAAUACGAACUGUGCAAACGUUAUUCGGAAUCACUGGGCUUAAAGGGUGCGUAGGCGGGUUGGUAGGUCAGAUGUGAAAGCCCACGGCUCAACCGUGGAAUUGCGUUUGAAACCCCCAGCCUUGAGGGAGAUAGAGGAGAGCGGAACUGAUGGUGGAGCGGUGAAAUGCGUUGAUAUCAUCAGGAACACCGGUGGCGAAAGCGGCUCUCUGGAUCUUUUCUGACGCUGAGGCACGAAAGCUAGGGGAGCGAACGGGAUUAGAUACCCCCGUAGUCC